RNAcentral lists this ribosomal RNA (99 nucleotides) under uncultured bacterium. Its description in RNAcentral is "partial 16S ribosomal RNA". It matches the Rfam family "Bacterial small subunit ribosomal RNA", at positions 1401 to 1500 of the family's 1533-position model. The record is from RNAcentral.
ACCAUGAGAGUUGGGAAUACCCGAAGCCUGUGAGCUAACCGCAAGGGAGCAGCAGUCGAAGGUAGAAUCAAUGAUUGGGUGAAGUCGUAACAAGGUAUC